GAGGCUUCUUGAUCCUAUGUGUUGUAUUGAGUGUUGGUCACUGGUCUUUGGGAAGCUUGGACAGAAGUGGGGCAGCCAUGGAGCUGCUGACUGGGACUGGCCUGUGGCCCGUGGUCAUAGUCACAGUCAUCUUCAUAUUACUGGUGGACAUGUUGCACCGGUGCCAGCGCUGGACUUCUUGCUGCCCACCAGACCCUGUGCCAUGGCCUGUGCUGGGUAACCUGCUGCAGGUGGACCUGGAUAACAUGCCAUAUAACUUGUACAAGCUUCACAACCGCUAUGGUGACGUGUUCAGCCUGCAGAUGGGCUGGAACCACAUGGCCGUGAUCAACGGACUGAAGGUGAUACAGGAAGUGUUGGUGACCUGUGGAGAGGACACUGCUGACCGCCCUGAAAUGCCCAUCUUUCCACACCUAGGCUAUGGGCAAAAAGCUAAAGGCAAAGGCUGUGUGGGGGCAGAGAUGGCAUCAAAGCCAGACAAGGGGGGACAGUGAGCAAAGGAAGGUCAGAUCAUGAUGCAGGUGGUAAUGUAGUUAAGCAUUGCAGCAGAAAGUCACAGAAAUCCAUUGUGGAGCCUCCUGAGCAUGGUGGAGGGUGGUAGAGACAUGUACUGGAGGAAGGGUGAGGUAUGGAGGACACCGACAAAGAAGAGAAAUGAAGGUGGGAGGGGGCACCAAAGCCAGGUGUCCUUGGUUUUACACAGAUGUGUCUGCAGGUGUGGUCCUUGCUCCUUAUGGGCCUGAGUGGAAAGAGCAGAGGUGAUUCUCUGCGUCGACCCUGUGCAACUUCAGCCUGGGCAAGAAAUCACUGGAGCAGUGGGUGAUGGAAGAGGUUGGACACCUCUUUGAUGUCUUCACUGCCCAUGCUGAGGAGGCUGUAGACAAGAGAUUUGGAAAGAACACAUCUAGAAGUGUCCACCACAGUAAUAGGAGCCUGGAGAUUGACAUACAGCAAAAGGAAGUGAGAAGCUGACCAAGGUCAGGGCUUCUAGAAGCUGAGACCCUGGCCCUCUGCCCACAUGGAACAUCUGUGAGAUUUUCCAGGGUUGGCUGACAAAGUCUUCCCUGGGCAAAAGACAUUUCUCAUAAUGGUGGAUAAGCUGGUGACUGAGCACAAGAGGACCUGGAACUCGGACCAGCCGCCUCGAGACCUGACUGAUGCCUUUAUGGCUGAGAUGGAGAAGGCAAAGGGAAACCCUGAGAGUAGCUUCAAUGAUGCAAAUCUAUGUCUGGUUGUCCUUGACCUGCUGGGUGCUGCAACUGUGACCACCUCAACCACACUGUCCUGGGCCCUGCUGCUUAUGAUCCUGCAUCCGGAUGUGCAGUGCCAAGUACAACAGGAAAUCGAUGAGGUCAUUUGGUAUGUGUGGCUUCCAGAGAUGGCAGACCAGGUCUGCAUGCCCUUCACCAAUGCUGUCAUUCAUGAGGGCAUGACUCUCAUCUCCAACCUGUUCCGUGCUGAAGGAUGAGACUGUCUGGGAGAAGCCCCUUCGCUUCCAUCCUGAACACUUCCUGGAUGCCCAGGGCCACUUUGUGAAGCCUGAGGCCUUCAUGCCAUUCUCAGCAGGCCACAGAUCAUGCCUGGGGGAGCCCCUGGCCCUCAUGGAGCUCUUCCUCUUCUUCACCUGCCUCCUGCAGCGCUUUAGCUUCUCAAUGCCAGCUGGACAAUCCCUUCCCAGUGAUUAUGGCAUCUAUACAAUGCCAGUUACUCCAGCACCUACCAGCUCUGUGCAGUGGUUUGCUAGCAGGGGCAGUGGCUCCAGCCAUCAUCACAGAUUGUUCUGACUGAUGUCCAAUAAACAAGUUUUGUGUCUGAAUCUCA
This 1821-nucleotide long non-coding RNA is filed under the name Mus musculus (house mouse). RNAcentral describes it as "novel transcript". Lineage: Eukaryota; Metazoa; Chordata; Mammalia; Rodentia; Muridae. The record is from RNAcentral.